This is a transfer RNA of Camelus ferus (Wild Bactrian camel), 73 nucleotides long. It matches the Rfam family "tRNA". Rfam says of the family: Transfer RNA (tRNA) molecules are approximately 80 nucleotides in length. Their secondary structure includes four short double-helical elements and three loops (D, anti-codon, and T loops). The record is from Rfam. Lineage: Eukaryota; Metazoa; Chordata; Mammalia; Artiodactyla; Camelidae.
GAGGGUAUAGCUCAAGUGGUAGAGUGCAUGCUUAGCAUGCACGAGGUCCUGGGUUCAAUCCCCAGUGCCUCCU